Stegastes partitus (bicolor damselfish) is the source of this 241-nucleotide long non-coding RNA. RefSeq lists it as uncharacterized. Lineage: Eukaryota; Metazoa; Chordata; Actinopteri; Pomacentridae. The record is from RefSeq and is a predicted model, not a curated record. The transcript is spliced from 2 exons.
CUAAAACGGUUAAUUUCGUUCCUCCACCGAAGUAAGCUUCAGCAUUAUUGUAUCACCGUGGCCCCCUGUCCCCACGGUGAAAAAGCAUCAUACAAAAACCUGGUGCCUUCUUCGCUGUGCGUCGGCUCCUUCCCCCACCCAGAGCCGCCAUAUCUCAGCCUCCAUCUCUGCGGCAGCAGCUGUGCAGCUCCAAACCGACGGCUGCUAUUUCUGUGAGAGCUAAGAAAAGAAGCAAGAAGGA